UAAUACAUGCAAGUCGAACGCACUCUCGUUUAGAUUGAAGGAGCUUGCUCCUGAUUGAUAAACAUUUGAGUGAGUGGCGACGGGUGAGUAACACGUGGGUAACCUGCCCUAAAGUGGGGGAUAACAUUUGGAAACAGAUGCUAAUACCGCAUAAAACCUAACACCGCAUGGUGUAGGGUUGAAAGAUGGUUUCGGCUAUCACUUUAGGAUGGACCCGCGGUGCAUUAGUUAGUUGGUGAGGUAAAGGCUCACCAAGACCGUGAUGCAUAGCCGACCUGAGAGGGUAAUCGGCCACACUGGGACUGAGACACGGCCCAGACUCCUACGGGAGGCAGCAGUAGGGAAUCUUCCACAAUGGACGAAAGUCUGAUGGAGCAACGCCGCGUGAGUGAAGAAGGUUUUCGGAUCGUAAAACUCUGUUGUUGGAGAAGAAUGUAUCUGAUAGUAACUGAUCAGGUAGUGACGGUAUCCAACCAGAAAGCCACGGCUAACUACGUG
This 498-nucleotide ribosomal RNA is filed under the name uncultured bacterium. RNAcentral's name for it is "bacterial SSU rRNA". It matches the Rfam family "Bacterial small subunit ribosomal RNA", at positions 49 to 507 of the family's 1533-position model. The record is from RNAcentral.